Long non-coding RNA from Bombus pyrosoma, 3083 nucleotides. RefSeq lists it as uncharacterized. The record is from RefSeq and is a predicted model, not a curated record. NCBI's taxonomy places the organism in Eukaryota, Metazoa, Arthropoda, Insecta, Hymenoptera, Apidae. The transcript is spliced from 3 exons.
CGCUUUCAAAGUACAAAGCGAAUUGCGCAUAUCAACAGCGAGUGCAUAGAUAGACGCUUGUUGAUUGUGAGGUGACAAUAAUUUUGUAUAGUUUUGUCGAAUUUUGAAAUUCCGAUAUAAAUAAGGAAUCAAUAAACAGGCGGUGAUGGCGUGCCGGUACAGCCGAAAGAAGCUUUGCUAUAGAAAAUGAGUCAAUGGUAGUAGCAUGCUGUCUCCUGCUACAAGGAAAGUUCCUGAAAAGCAGGCAUUCCGUAAUGACCAAUAUGAAACUAAGGGUACAGCUUGCAGCGGUAUCCUCGUAGCAGAUAGAUGCGAGCUGCUGAAGCACAAUAAAAGAAUGACCCAUUUAGUAAAUGUAUGGGCAAGAAGUCUGAAAGAGGUAAGGCAUGGAGCAGAAGGUUCAACAACCUGCUCUUUGGAGAACAAAGUAAAGAAAGCGGAAUUGAGAAUUUCCACGAACGUUGUUGAGCACAGCGGAAGUUUCUAUUUAUUCGGACAUUUUUCCAGUCCAUAUUCAACAUUUGGAAAUCAACGAUAGUGUAAAAUAUUUGGCUCGAAAGAAACAAAAUGUUAUUAACAAAUGCAUGGGUUUAGAAAUACCGGAAACAUUACGAAACAUAACUUUCUCUGCAUUGAUAGAUGAAAGGGACACGUCAGAGGUCAAAAGUAAAAAAAGGCUAUGUCGAAAAACUUGUACAAAUGUUUUCUACGCUCUUUAAUAAUAAACUAUUGAUUUAAUUGCUAAAGAAAAAUACUAAAUUCAAACGCCAGUUUUACAGCGACCACUCCUAACAACAUCCUCGUACAUAUACUACAAUGUAUGAUAAUAACGUAUAAUAUAUAGUAUAAUGUAUAGUAAUCAGAUAAUGCUAUGCCAUUCUUACGGCAUUGGAAGCCGUUAAAAACGAUCGGUAUAAAACAGCUGUAGUAUUUAGCAGCUCAGUAGCAACGAUACUCGUAACAAUUAUCUGGCAACAAUUUUGUUGUAAGAGACGUACUCGAAUUAUACACAGAUCUAUCAGCAGCAAAUUACUAUAGCAUGAAUUCCAGUCCAUCAAGGAGUAUCGAGUAACGAAGCUGCAGACAACGUAGCCAAAGAAGCGAUAAAUAUCCAACCAUCGACCACACACGCGUCAAACAACCGUGGAAUCACAAGUGGAACGUUGAAAAAUCAAUUAGAUCGAGCAACAGCUCAAACAAUUUUCUUCGUGACGUGAUAGGAAGAUCCUUCAAUGGCAGAAACCGAGUCAUUCUAAACAGGAUCCACAUUGGCCAUGUUGAGGUUGAGGUUGACUGAUUGAAGAACGAGUAGAUGAAUUUGUAAUAGAAAAGUAUAUUGAAAUAAUUAAAGGUAUAAGUAUAAGUUUAUGCUGAUUCAGAUCCUUACUCUCCUAGUGUUACAAUACAAUGGAAUCGAUAAGGAGCACGUUCAUAUAUUUAGAGGUUACAAGGAACAUAAAUAGACAUCUUUUUAUCAGUUCCUUUGUUCCUAGACCUUGCAACCGAAAACAUAAUGUACAUUCAAGGGUACAACAAUAUGCACCUCUCCUUAUUUAGAAUAUUUCUGCGUAAUAGCAGUCUCCGGGUCACGGAUAUACAUAAAUAAAGAUGUAGAGUUUUCCUUGAAGUAGUUAGUUUAACAGGCCACGCCAGACGUUCUCACAAAUUGCUCCUCACCUGAAAGGGAAUACGUUUACCUCGCUGAAACACAUGUCAAUGUUCUUCGACUUUUAAAUACAUAUCGAUGUUUCAUAAGAAAACCGAAACCUUACGAAAUCAGGCUAAACUUCUGCAAUCAGUAAAGGAAUGUUUUGUACGAAGAAUGUUAAGAACCUUCUGAAAUUUAUCCAAAGCAAUAAAUAGGUUCUACGAUUUUAUCCAAGUACUACCAAUCGGCAGAUCGAUAAUGGCCCAAAUGUCGGUGGGACGUUAAUCUUUGAGAUAAAAAAAGGCAUACUAAAUUGGAGUGGAUGGAGAAAGAAGAACGAGCCCUUGACAAAUCGCCUUAACAAUAGAACCUACAACUGGCAAUAGGAUUAUCAUUAUGGUCCUGUCGCAUCAUCGAUCACUGAUCGAACGACUCUGUCGGUGAUCGUUAGCGGAAUUCGUUUUGGCCUAGAGCUGUUACAAAAUUGUAAUAAAAACUUAUAAUUAUCCAUUUUCCCCAUCUCUCUUGUAUCUGGCGUAACUGGCUAUUUUAUGAAUCUUUCGACCUCGGUGAGAGAACGCGGUGGAUGACUAAUUACAUUCACCGUGUUACCGUGAUAAAUAGUUUUGCGGAAUUAAUGCGAUAACCAAAGUACUGUCAAAUUAUUUCCAAACAAUAGCGAAAAGAUAACGCCGGUUUGGUUGCAAUCGUAUCAUUGGUAUGCAGACGCAGAAUUCAUGCGGCGCACCGUGUUGAAAAUGAACUGAAUAUACCGGAUUCUGAAAUUUUCGUAAUAGAAUCCGUAUAAAGGAUGAAACUCACACGGGAGUUGAUGGUGUCGGACGCGUAAUUAUUUAGGCGUUAAUUGAAAGUGGAAAUUAUAACACGAUUUACUUGUGCGCUUUUAUUAAAUCCAAUAAUAUUGUAUGUACGUAAUGUUUUAAGCGAGUGGUAUCUCAUUUUCAAAUAUGAAGCGUAAUUCUUUAUCGAAUAAGACUCAUCUGUAUCUUUAAUACAAUUUGUAAAACGUUAAUUUCUACUUUCAUUCGCUGUUAUAACGAAUAAUCUUUAUACUGAAUCUAUUUCUCUAUAAAUAUAUUAUCAAGCGUUGCAUAUUAUAUUUACAUGAAUUAUCAUGGAAGACGCUUUUAGAAUUUUCUUUUAGAUUUAUAAAUUAUGUCUCGCGCUUAAAUCAGUAUCAUCCAUACGUCGUACGGAUAUUUUAAAAGUUUGCACUGAAGGGCCAACGCGGGCUUGAGACGUACGCAGCGAACCUGUUAAGACAAAAGGAUUCUACGAUUUCAUCUUAUCGUCAAAUCAUUUAUGUAUUUCCUAUAGAAAUUGGAUUUUGGAUUGAAGCACAUAAGUGCAUAACAGCUUCGAAAUGGCUCUACGUUUCAUCGAUAAUAUCAAUUAUUUGUAACAGACACACACA